Long non-coding RNA from Xiphias gladius (swordfish), 546 nucleotides. RefSeq lists it as uncharacterized. Lineage: Eukaryota; Metazoa; Chordata; Actinopteri; Istiophoriformes; Xiphiidae. The transcript is spliced from 3 exons. The record is from RefSeq and is a predicted model, not a curated record.
AACAAAUGCCACCUGUGAGUAGUUUCCCUGUCUGUGCUUCUCGUUUCGGAAUAGUCGAUUAAGGAGUAAAUAAUGGCAGAUGUCAGGACAGAAGCUGAGUUUUCCUGUGUUUGGUGUCGGACCGCGGCCACGAAGUCAGGGGUCUGCUCACCGGAUUUCGACACACCACGAUCCCGGGGUCUUAGCUAAGGUGUGACUUCAUGCUAGCUCUCUGUCUUUCUGUCUGCCAAGAUGUACUUCAUAUCGAUAGAGCAGAUGGUUUCGGAGUCUCUGCCAGGUCCUUCAUCUAAUGUAAGGCCAAAGGGUUUCUCUGUGAUCUCCAGUGUAUGGCUGAUGGGGCUGGAUGGGUCACUGUUGAGGCUGCUGAUGUGCUCAUGGGGGACCUCGAACCUCUGCCUGUGGGCAUCAGAGAUCUGAGGGAAAGGAAACAACCAUACAGGCAUUGUGAACAUGCCCUCAUAUCUCACUGUCAUGUUUGUACUUUGUUUUGUAUAUUGCUGUUUUUGUCCUCUUUUGUUCUGUAUAGCAUUCGCGUUAAACAUGCUU